This 74-nucleotide transfer RNA is filed under the name Agrilus planipennis (emerald ash borer). It matches the Rfam family "tRNA". Rfam says of the family: Transfer RNA (tRNA) molecules are approximately 80 nucleotides in length. Their secondary structure includes four short double-helical elements and three loops (D, anti-codon, and T loops). Further hydrogen bonds mediate the characteristic L-shaped molecular structure. tRNAs have two regions of fundamental functional importance: the anti-codon, which is responsible for specific mRNA codon recognition, and the 3' end, to which the tRNAs corresponding amino acid is attached (by aminoacyl-tRNA synthetases). tRNAs cope with the degeneracy of the genetic code in two manners: having more than one tRNA (with a specific anti-codon) for a particular amino acid; and 'wobble' base-pairing, i.e. permitting non-standard base-pairing at the 3rd anti-codon position. The record is from Rfam by way of RNAcentral. Lineage: Eukaryota; Metazoa; Arthropoda; Insecta; Coleoptera; Buprestidae.
UCUCUCGUAGCUUAGUGGUCAAAAGCAUUGGCGCGUAAAGCCAAAGAGCCCGGGUUCGAUUCCCGGCGGGGGUG